Molecule: ribosomal RNA, 794 nt
Filed under: uncultured bacterium
Lineage: Bacteria
Description: bacterial SSU rRNA
Rfam family: Bacterial small subunit ribosomal RNA
Source: RNAcentral
AGAGUUUGAUCCUGGCUCAGAUUGAACGCUGGCGGCAUGCCUUACACAUGCAAGUCGAACGGCAGCGCGGGAGCAAUCCUGGCGGCGAGUGGCGAACGGGUGAGUAAUACAUCGGAACGUGUCCUGGAGUGGGGGGAUAGCCCGGCGAAAGCCGGAUUAAUACCGCAUACGAUCUCAGGAUGAAAGCGGGGGACCGAAAGGCCUCGCGCUCAAGGGGCGGCCGAUGGCAGAUUAGCUAGUUGGUGGGGUAAAGGCCUACCAAGGCGACGAUCUGUAGCUGGUCUGAGAGGACGACCAGCCACACUGGGACUGAGACACGGCCCAGACUCCUACGGGAGGCAGCAGUGGGGAAUUUUGGACAAUGGGGGCAACCCUGAUCCAGCAAUGCCGCGUGUGUGAAGAAGGCCUUCGGGUUGUAAAGCACUUUUGUCCGGAAAGAAAACCUCCGCCCUAAUACGGUGGGGGGAUGACGGUACCGGAAGAAUAAGCACCGGCUAACUACGUGCCAGCAGCCGCGGUAAUACGUAGGGUGCAAGCGUUAAUCGGAAUUACUGGGCGUAAAGCGUGCGCAGGCGGUUCGCUAAGACCGAUGUGAAAUCCCCGGGCUUAACCUGGGAACUGCAUUGGUGACUGGCGGGCUAGAGUAUGGCAGAGGGGGGUAGAAUUCCACGUGUAGCAGUGAAAUGCGUAGAGAUGUGGAGGAAUACCGAUGGCGAAGGCAGCCCCCUGGGCCAAUACUGACGCUCAUGCACGAAAGCGUGGGGAGCAAACAGGAUUAGAUACCCUAGUAGUCC